Molecule: ribosomal RNA, 514 nt
Filed under: uncultured bacterium
Lineage: Bacteria
Description: partial 16S ribosomal RNA
Rfam family: Bacterial small subunit ribosomal RNA
Source: RNAcentral
GAUGAACGCUGGCGGCGUGCCUAAUACAUGCAAGUCGAGCGAACUGAUUAGAAGCUUGCUCCUAUGACGUUAGCGGCGGACGGGUGAGUAACACGUGGGCAACCUGCCUGUAAGACUGGGAUAACUUCGGGAAACCGAAGCUAAUACCGGAUAGGAUCUUCUCCUUCAUGGGAGAUGAUUGAAAGAUGGUUUCGGCUAUCACUUACAGAUGGGCCCGCGGUGCAUUAGCUAGUUGGUGAGGUAACGGCUCACCAAGGCAACGAUGCAUAGCCGACCUGAGAGGGUGAUCGGCCACACUGGGACUGAGACACGGCCCAGACUCCUACGGGAGGCAGCAGUAGGGAAUCUUCCGCAAUGGACGAAAGUCUGACGGAGCAACGCCGCGUGAGUGAUGAAGGCUUUCGGGUCGUAAAACUCUGUUGUUAGGGAAGAAUAAGUACAAGAGUAACUGCUUGUACCUUGACGGUACCUAACCAGAAAGCCACGGCUAACUACGUGCCAGCCGCCGCCGUAA